This 85-nucleotide microRNA precursor is filed under the name Oreochromis niloticus (Nile tilapia). RNAcentral's name for it is "microRNA oni-mir-10941 precursor". Lineage: Eukaryota; Metazoa; Chordata; Actinopteri; Cichliformes; Cichlidae. The record is from miRBase by way of RNAcentral.
AGAGAAAAGGUGAGGGGGGAAGUGUUUAGAGCCGAUCUGAAUCGACUUUAUGUCACGCUUGCUCACACAAAUCACUCGUCUCACU